RNAcentral lists this ribosomal RNA (465 nucleotides) under uncultured soil bacterium. RNAcentral's name for it is "bacterial SSU rRNA". It matches the Rfam family "Bacterial small subunit ribosomal RNA", at positions 26 to 468 of the family's 1533-position model. The record is from RNAcentral.
AGAGUGGACGCUGGCGGUAGGCCUAACACAUGCAAGUCGAACGGCAGCACGGUAAGAGCUUGCUCUUAUGGGUGGCGAGUGGCGGACGGGUGAGGAAUACAUCGGAAUCUACCUUUUGGUGGGGGAUAACGUAGGGAAACUUACGCUAAUACCGCAUACGCCCUUCGGGGGAAAGCCGGGGACCAGCGAUGGCCUGGCGCUGAUAGAUGAGCCGAUGUCGGAUUAGCUAGUUGGUGAGGUAAUGGCUCACCAAGGCGACGAUCCGUAGCUGGUCUGAGAGGAUGAUCAGCCACACUGGAACUGAGACACGGUCCAGACUCCGUACGGGAGGCAGCAGUGGGGAAUAGUUGGACAAGUGGGACGAAAGCCUAGACUCCAGCCAUCGACCGCGUGUGUAGAAGAAGGUUCUUACGGAUUAGUAAAGCGUAACGUUUAAGGUUGGAAGGUAAGGUUAGUAAACGUUAA